RNAcentral lists this ribosomal RNA (390 nucleotides) under uncultured bacterium. RNAcentral's name for it is "bacterial SSU rRNA". It matches the Rfam family "Bacterial small subunit ribosomal RNA", at positions 82 to 507 of the family's 1533-position model. The record is from RNAcentral.
UCUUCGGAUGUUAGCGGCGGACGGGUGAGUAACGCGUGGGAAUAUGCCCUUCUCUGCGGAAUAGCCUCGGGAAACUGAGAGUAAUACCGCAUACGCCCUUUGGGGGAAAGAUUUAUCGGAGAAGGAUUAGCCCGCGUUGGAUUAGGUAGUUGGUGGGGUAAUGGCCUACCAAGCCUACGAUCCAUAGCUGGUUUGAGAGGAUGAUCAGCCACACUGGGACUGAGACACGGCCCAGACUCCUACGGGAGGCAGCAGUGGGGAAUCUUAGACAAUGGGGGAAACCCUGAUCUAGCCAUGCCGCGUGAGCGAUGAAGGCCUUAGGGUUGUAAAGCUCUUUCACCGGGGAAGAUAAUGACGGUACCCGGAGAAGAAGCCCCGGCUAACUCCGUG